GGGAGGUUACCCAAGCUUGGCUGAAGGGGGCAGACUCGAAAUCUGUUAGGCGGGUAAAACCGUGCAAGGGUUCGAAUCCCUUACCUUCCG
Molecule: transfer RNA, 90 nt
Filed under: Enterococcus phoeniculicola
Lineage: Bacteria; Bacillati; Bacillota; Bacilli; Lactobacillales; Enterococcaceae
Also listed under: 1 other name
Description: tRNA-Ser
Rfam family: tRNA
About the family: Transfer RNA (tRNA) molecules are approximately 80 nucleotides in length. Their secondary structure includes four short double-helical elements and three loops (D, anti-codon, and T loops).
Source: RNAcentral